AUUACGGUAGCAAAGUUGGUAAUUAAUGCAAAAGGUCUAAACCCUUUGACCAGAGGUUCAACUCCUCUCCAUAAUA
Molecule: transfer RNA, 76 nt
Filed under: Chelodina pritchardi
Lineage: Eukaryota; Metazoa; Chordata; Testudines; Chelidae
Description: tRNA-Leu
Rfam family: tRNA
About the family: Transfer RNA (tRNA) molecules are approximately 80 nucleotides in length. Their secondary structure includes four short double-helical elements and three loops (D, anti-codon, and T loops).
Source: RNAcentral